RNAcentral lists this ribosomal RNA (441 nucleotides) under uncultured bacterium. RNAcentral's name for it is "partial 16S ribosomal RNA". It matches the Rfam family "Bacterial small subunit ribosomal RNA", at positions 338 to 795 of the family's 1533-position model. The record is from RNAcentral.
CCUACGGGAGGCAGCAGUGGGGGAUAUUGCUCAAUGGGGGGAACCCUGAUGCAGCGACGCCGCGUGGGUGAAGGAGUGCUUCGGCAUGUAAAGCCCUAUCGGCAGGGAAGCAGCAAGACGGUACCUGACUAAGAAGCCCCGGCUAACUACGUGCCCGGAGCCGCGGUAAUGCGGAGGGGCCGAGCGUAAUCCGGAUUCACUGGGUGUAAAGGGAGUGUGGACGGCCAUGCAAGCCAGGGGUGAAAGCCCGGGGCCCAACCCCGGGACUGCCCGUGGAACGGCAUGGCGGGAGUGCGGGGGGGGCAGGGGGAAUUCCUGGUGUAGCGGUGAAAUGCGUAGAUAUCUGGAGGAACAUCAGUGGCGAAGGCGACUAUCUGGCACAUAACUGACGCUGAGGAGCGAAAGCGUGGGUAGCAAACAGGAUUAGAUACCCUAGUAGUC